RNAcentral lists this ribosomal RNA (535 nucleotides) under uncultured Mycobacterium sp. Its description in RNAcentral is "bacterial SSU rRNA". It matches the Rfam family "Bacterial small subunit ribosomal RNA", at positions 54 to 606 of the family's 1533-position model. The record is from RNAcentral. Lineage: Bacteria; Bacillati; Actinomycetota; Actinomycetes; Mycobacteriales; Mycobacteriaceae.
CAUGCAAGUCGAACGGAAAGGCCCUUCGGGGUACUCGAGUGGCGAACGGGUGAGUAACACGUGGGUGAUCUGCCCUGCACUUUGGGAUAAGCCUGGGAAACUGGGUCUAAUACCGAAUAGGACCACGCGCUUCAUGGUGUGUGGUGGAAAGCUUUUGCGGUGUGGGAUGGGCCCGCGGCCUAUCAGCUUGUUGGUGGGGUAAUGGCCUACCAAGGCGACGACGGGUAGCCGGCCUGAGAGGGUGACCGGCCACACUGGGACUGAGAUACGGCCCAGACUCCUACGGGAGGCAGCAGUGGGGAAUAUUGCACAAUGGGCGCAAGCCUGAUGCAGCGACGCCGCGUGAGGGAUGACGGCCUUCGGGUUGUAAACCUCUUUCGCCAGGGACGAAGCGCAAGUGACGAUACCUGGAGAAGAAGGACCGGCCAACUACGUGCCAGCAGCCGCGGUAAUACGUAGGGUCCGAGCGUUGUCCGGAAUUACUGGGCGUAAAGAGCUCGUAGGUGGUUUGUCGCGUUGUUCGUGAAAACUCACA